RNAcentral lists this long non-coding RNA (962 nucleotides) under Homo sapiens (human). RNAcentral describes it as "HSALNT0002989". The record is from RNAcentral. Lineage: Eukaryota; Metazoa; Chordata; Mammalia; Primates; Hominidae.
CAGGAAGCUGCAGGUAGCAGGGGAGCGGGUUGGCCCAGGCCUCUCUGGCUGCCAAGGCAGGAGCGGUCCCCGUGUGCCACCUGGGUGUUGCUGGACCUUGGACAGUGUGGCCAGAGGAUCCGGAAGGGAUUCUGCCUGAGAGGGCCCACGGAGGACUGGUGGCCAUGUGGAAGUUGAACUGAUGCUCACUGAACUCCUGAUUAUGUCUGGGUCCUAAACUAGGCCUUGGGCCUCCACAGGUGAGGAAACCGGGGCGUGGAGAGGCUGUGUUACUUGCUCAAGGUCACAUUACUAGCAAGUUCCAGAUCAAGAUGCAUCCCCAGGCAGUCUGGCUCCAGACUCCGUGCAUUUACCUGCAGAACCCCUCUCCAGCCAGCAUCUGACCUGUGGCCCAGGAGUGUGCACCCUCUGGCAGGUGAGGGCUUGGAGCAGAGACCUGGCCAUUACAGGAAGCAGCCUGGAGCUAUGGACAGAACGGAGAGAGUGGGGGCCAGCGGCGCUGCUGCCUUCAGACACCGGUUGAUGAACCGUCCCAUGUGGUCCUGCCCAGGGAGUGGAGCCCAGCGCACAAGGCCUGGCAGGGACAGGAGGUCUAAGGUCUCAAAUGGAUUUACCAGCAAAGCCAAGACUCUAGCCCAAGUGCCUGGAUCCCAUUUCAGAGUCUGUCCCAUCAGAGCACACAGCCAGGAAGGUGAGACAGCAGGUAUCGUGGAGAGAGGCCACUGAUUGGUCAGUGUCAGGCAUGCUGAGUUAUCUGUGGCCCUGUCCUAUUCUGAGCAUAUUUUCCUCUGCACAGAUAAAGUCAGAUCUUUGCACUUGUCCAGUGAGGUGUUCCUCACGGUAAAUGGAUGACAAUUGACAAAGUGCCUACUGUGCGCCCACCUUGGCCUGGGGCUUUCGUGGGUGUUAUCUUGCUUCCAUUGUCUUGGGGAAGGAGCCAGGAGGGAUGUGGAGGACAGAGG